This 85-nucleotide transfer RNA is filed under the name Rhodospirillaceae bacterium. Its description in RNAcentral is "tRNA-Leu". It matches the Rfam family "tRNA". From Rfam's summary of the family: Transfer RNA (tRNA) molecules are approximately 80 nucleotides in length. Their secondary structure includes four short double-helical elements and three loops (D, anti-codon, and T loops). The record is from RNAcentral. Lineage: Bacteria; Pseudomonadati; Pseudomonadota; Alphaproteobacteria; Rhodospirillales; Rhodospirillaceae.
GCGGGCGUGGCGGAAUUGGCAUACGCGACGGACUUAAAAUCCGUUCCUUUCGAGGUUGAGGGUUCGAGUCCCUCCGCCCGCACCA